UACGGGGGGGGCAGGCGUUGUUCGGAAUUACUGGGCGUAAAGGGCUCGUAGGCGGCCAACUAAGUCAGACGUGAAAUCCCUCGGCUUAACCGGGGAACUGCAUCUGAUACUGGAUGGCUUGAGAUUGGGAGAGGGAUGCGGAAUUCCAGGUGUAGCGGUGAAAUGCGUAGAUAUCUGGAGGAACACCGGUGGCGAAGGCGGCGUUCUGGACUGCUACUGACACUGAGGAACGAAAGCCAGGGGAGCAAACGGG
Molecule: ribosomal RNA, 253 nt
Filed under: uncultured bacterium
Lineage: Bacteria
Description: partial 16S ribosomal RNA
Rfam family: Bacterial small subunit ribosomal RNA
Source: RNAcentral